Molecule: small nucleolar RNA, 117 nt
Organism: Psammomys obesus (fat sand rat)
Lineage: Eukaryota; Metazoa; Chordata; Mammalia; Rodentia; Muridae
Product: small nucleolar RNA SNORD22
Exons: 1
Source: RefSeq, a predicted model, not a curated record
AGCUUGUGAAAACUAGAAAGUGGCUCCAAUUACUUCCUGUCAUAACCCCAGAGCCUGAGAAGGUGGACUUACUGAGGCUAGCUGGGGUGGACAAAGAAAGUCUGUUCCAAGAGGUUG